Molecule: ribosomal RNA, 497 nt
Filed under: uncultured bacterium
Lineage: Bacteria
Description: partial 16S ribosomal RNA
Rfam family: Bacterial small subunit ribosomal RNA
Source: RNAcentral
GAUGAACGCUGGUGGCGUGCCUAAUACAUGCAAGUCGAGCGAACGGACGAGAAGCUUGCUUCUCUGAUGUUAGCGGCGGACGGGUGAGUAACACGUGGAUAACCUACCUAUAAGACUGGGAUAACUUCGGGAAACCGGAGCUAAUACCGGAUAAUAUUUUGAACCGCAUGGUUCAAAAGUGAAAGACGGUCUUGCUGUCACUUAUAGAUGGAUCCGCGCUGCAUUAGCUAGUUGGUAAGGUAACGGCUUACCAAGGCAACGAUGCAUAGCCGACCUGAGAGGGUGAUCGGCCACACUGGAACUGAGACACGGUCCAGACUCCUACGGGGGGCAGCAGUAGGGAAUCUUCCGCAAUGGGCGAAAGCCUGACGGAGCAACGCCGCGUGAGUGAUGAAGGUCUUCGGAUCGUAAAACUCUGUUAUUAGGGAAGAACAUAUGUGUAAGUAACUGUGCACAUCUUGACGGUACCUAAUCAGAAAGCCACGGCUAACUACGUG